AAGAGAAUGUAGGUAUCUGAAAGAAGCUGCUAACUAUCUUUCAAAGCGGUUAAAUUCCGUUUUUCUCUUAAUU
Molecule: transfer RNA, 73 nt
Filed under: Leptocorisa acuta (rice earhead bug)
Lineage: Eukaryota; Metazoa; Arthropoda; Insecta; Hemiptera; Alydidae
Description: tRNA-Ser
Source: RNAcentral